Molecule: unclassified non-coding RNA, 644 nt
Filed under: uncultured Prochlorococcus sp.
Lineage: Bacteria; Bacillati; Cyanobacteriota; Cyanophyceae; Synechococcales; Prochlorococcaceae
Description: partial 16S-23S ribosomal RNA intergenic spacer; may also contain 16S ribosomal RNA and 23S ribosomal RNA
Rfam family: tRNA (bases 304-376)
Source: RNAcentral
UUGUGGAGGAGGACGCCGAAGGUGGGGCUAAUGACUGGGGUGAAGUCGUAACAAGGUAGCCGUACCGGAAGGUGCGGCUGGAUCACCUCCUAACAGGGAGACAACAAAAUGUUAAAUAUUAAUUUUGUCACCUUAGGUCGAUCGGUAUCUCACAUUCUUAAUUCAUUAAGAAUUUUAUUUCCUAAGUUUUUUCUAGGUCACACCCAUUACUUUUCCUGGGCCAUUAGCUCAGGUGGUUAGAGCGCACCCCUGAUAAGGGUGAGGUCCCUGGUUCAAGUCCAGGAUGGCCCAUAUCUCUAUGUUGGGGGUAUAGCUCAGUUGGUAGAGCGCCUGCUUUGCAAGCAGGAUGUCAGCGGUUCGAGUCCGCUUACCUCCACUGAUCACCGCUUUCAUAAAUUUAAAGAAGGGAAAUGUAUUGAGUUGUGAUCAAAUUCUGAACGAAUCUAGCUUCCUAAUAUAAACAUUAAGAUGCUGGACUCAUUGAAUUUAUUCAUUGUUUUCAGAGAACCUUGACAACUGCAUAGAUUAUUUUUUUAAAGACAAUAAGCAUCUUUAAUGAUGCAGAUUUAUUAUUUUUGCAAAUGCAUUAAUAACAAUUCUAUUAAGCUGAUGCUUCAAUUUUGAAGUUAUUGGUCAAGCUACAA